GAUGAACGCUGGCAGAAUGCUUAACACAUGCAAGUCAACUUGAAUUUGGGUUUUUAACUUAGGUUUUGGUGGCGGACGGGGGAGUAACGCGUAAAGAACUUGCCUCACAGCUAGGGACAACAUUUGAAAACGAAUGCUAAUACCUAAUAUUAUGAUAAUAGCUGCUCCUAUAAGGAUGAAAACUAUAAGCGCUGUGAGAGAGCUUUGCGUCCCAUUAGCUAGUUGGAGAGGUAACGGCUCACCAAGGCGAUGAUGGGUAGCCGGCCUGAGAGGGUGAUCGGCAAAAAGGGGCUUGAGACACGCCCAGAACCCUACGGGGAGGCAGAAGUGGGGAAUAUUGGACAAGGGACCGAGAGUCUGACAGAGACACUCUGUGUGCAAGAUGAAGUUUCUCGGAAUGUAAAGCGCUUUCAGUUGGGAAGAAACAAAUGACGGUAACAACAGAAGAAGCGACGGCUAAAUACGUG
This 467-nucleotide ribosomal RNA is filed under the name uncultured bacterium. RNAcentral describes it as "partial 16S ribosomal RNA". It matches the Rfam family "Bacterial small subunit ribosomal RNA", at positions 28 to 507 of the family's 1533-position model. The record is from RNAcentral.